GAAUGCUGGCGGCGUGCUUUACACAUGCAAGUCGAGCGAUGAAACACCUUCGGGUGUGAAUUAGCGGCGAACGGGUGAGGAACACGUGAGAAAUCUGCCUUCAACACUGGGAUAACUCCGGGAAACCGGGGCUAAUACCGGAUAUGAAAUAUGCGGGCAUCCGCGGAUUUGGAAAGUUUUUCGGUUGUAGAUGAUCUCGCGGCCUAUCAGCUUGUGGUGAGGUAAUGGCUCACCAAGGCGACGACGGGUAGCCGGCCUGAGAGGGUGACCGGCCACACUGGGAUUGAGACACGGCCCAGACUCCUACGGGAGGCAGCAGUGGGGAAUAUUGGGCAAUGGAGGAAACUCUGACCCAGAGACGCCGCGUGCGGGAUGAAGGC
Molecule: ribosomal RNA, 380 nt
Filed under: uncultured bacterium
Lineage: Bacteria
Description: bacterial SSU rRNA
Rfam family: Bacterial small subunit ribosomal RNA
Source: RNAcentral